GCUUGCAAUUCCGGCAAAAUAUGGUCUCGAAAUAUAAGUCACAUUUCAAAAGUCAUUUUGGGUUUCCUACACGAAAAAUGCCAUCUAUUUAGAACAUGAUACCUGAAAUCACGCGCUCCUAUAUUUUGAAGAAAUUAAAUAUCCCGUUUCGGCAAAAACCUUCCAAACCUUGCAUGUCAUAUCUGAAAGGGCUAACAGAUCCUUUUCAUUUUGCAUCAUAUAUGGUACUUGGACCGUUGGACGACGUCCAACCGUUGAACGACUCAGCUAACGGUACUUGGCCCGUUGGACGACGGAUUAAGGACGACGUCCAACCGUUGGACGACUCAGCCAACGGUACUUGGACCGUUGGACGACGGAUUGAGGACGACGUCCAACCGUUGGACGACUCAGCCAACGGUACUUGGUCCGUUGGACGACAGAUUGUGGACGACGUCCAACCGUUGGACGACUCAGCCAACGGUCUCUGCCUCGGAGUCGGGAUCCUUCUAGAGUCAGGAAGGACGAACCCGCCCUGAAAGACGCACAAAACAUGAGGCCAAUGGUGCAGUAUUGGCAACGUGGUAGAGGCACGGCGCAUCGUGCGACGUGGAACCGCCGAGGAGGGGAGGGGUCGGGAAGGGAGCAAG
This is a long non-coding RNA of Amphibalanus amphitrite, 629 nucleotides long. RefSeq lists it as uncharacterized. Lineage: Eukaryota; Metazoa; Arthropoda; Thecostraca; Balanomorpha; Balanidae. The record is from RefSeq and is a predicted model, not a curated record. The transcript has 7 exons.